UCCACUAGGGCAAUCUCCACUACAAGCGGUUGGAACAUCCAAACAGCUGAAAUCUCCUUUGUAUCCUGUUUAUUCCGUAGAUGACCUUGUGACCUCCUGGGUAAUCACGUCUACCGGUUCUAAAGUGAUAACAUUAGAGGUUGUAGAUUUAGAUAUAUCUGUAUCAGGGGAGAUAACUAUACAUGACGGUGACAGUCCUGCGUCACCCACUUUAUUAAAACUACGUCAUGAUAGUCGAGACAAACAGAUUAUAUCAACCAGCAACAACCUGUAUAUCUACUAUAAUACUGGUACAACAGAUACAAUUAACAGAAGAGGCUUUCUCUUUACUUAUAGAGAAGGUUGUGAUUUUACGAUCAGAUCGAAUCAAGGGGAGGUCAUUUCACCUGGUUAUGCACGUGGUCUAUAUCCCAAUAUCUUGCAAUGUUCCUGGACAAUUUACUCACUUACAGGAAAUUCACUCACUCUCAACUUUGACCCCGUUUUUCGUUUGGAACAGGACAAAGAUAUCGUAAAGGUAUACAAAAGUAACGGACCGUCUGACGCUGCCCACACUGGAAAUGGUUUUAGUGGCAUCACAGCUCCAGGAACUAUUGUUUCUCCUAGUGGAAGAUUGUAUAUACAGUUUACUACUAGUGCUUUAGGACAAGAUAAAGGAUUUAAAGCUAGUUUCUCUGCAGGAUGUAAUGGUUUAAGUGAUCCUACUAUCAAAGUUGAACCGUAUUAUUCUACAUACAGCUAUAACGAGGUCAUCACAGUUACCUGUAUAACUAAUCAAGUCUUCUAUAACAAAAUAUACACUGGACAAUCGAGCAUUUCGUUACUUUGUACAAAUGGUGGUUCUUGGAAUAAAGAAAUACCAACCUGUUCUCGCGUGCCGUGUGGAGCUGUUCCUUCUGUUACCAAUGGAUACCUGAUAUCUAGCACUGGACCAUAUUCUGGUUCCACAGCAACGUAUGCUUGUAACUAUGGUUACAAUAUGACCCGGGAUGCCACCAUUACUUGUAAGAGUUCCGGUUUGUGGGAUAAUGGUCCAUCUUGUUAUGCUACGUCAUGUUCAGCUAAGUUUGGUAUUAAUAAUGGUAAUAUGGUGGUAUUAUAUGGUAAUGGUUAUAAUCAAGGAUCAGUAUUACAGUAUAGUUGUAUUGACGGCUAUGAAA
Molecule: long non-coding RNA, 1160 nt
Organism: Patella vulgata (common limpet)
Lineage: Eukaryota; Metazoa; Mollusca; Gastropoda; Patellidae
Exons: 7
Source: RefSeq, a predicted model, not a curated record